This 461-nucleotide ribosomal RNA is filed under the name uncultured bacterium. Its description in RNAcentral is "bacterial SSU rRNA". It matches the Rfam family "Bacterial small subunit ribosomal RNA", at positions 1 to 488 of the family's 1533-position model. The record is from RNAcentral.
UAGAGUUUGAUCCUGGCUCAGGACGAACGCUGGGGGCGUGCUUAACACAUGCAAGUCGAACGAGGUCCAUCCUUCGGGAGAAGACCUAGUGGCGAACGGGUGCGUAACACGUGAGGAACUUGUCCCGGUCUCUGGGAUAACAGUUGGAAACGACUGCUAAUACCGGAUGACGUCGGAGCGUCGCAUGGCGCGCUGACGAAAGGGUUACCGGAUCGGGAGAGCCUCGCGGCCUAUCAGCUUGUUGGUGGGGUAACGGCCUACCAAGGCAUCGACGGGUAGCUGGUCUGAGAGGAUGAUCAGCCACACUGGGACUGAGACACGGCCCAGACUCCUACGGGAGGCAGCAGUGGGGAAUCUUGCGCAAUGGGCGAAAGCCUGACGCAGCAACGCCGCGUGCGGGAAGAAGGCUCUCGGGUUGUAAACCGCUUCAGAAGGAACGAAACUGACGGUACUUCAGAAGA